RNAcentral lists this ribosomal RNA (1811 nucleotides) under Calyptomerus dubius. RNAcentral's name for it is "SSU rRNA". It matches the Rfam family "Eukaryotic small subunit ribosomal RNA". Lineage: Eukaryota; Metazoa; Arthropoda; Insecta; Coleoptera; Clambidae. The record is from RNAcentral.
AGCAUAUGCUUGUCUCAAAGAUUAAGCCAUGCAUGUCUCAGUACAAGCUAAACUAAAGUGAAACCGCGAAAGGCUCAUUAAAUCAGUUAUGGUUCCUUAGAUCGUACCCUUUUACUUGGAUAACUGUGGUAAUUCUAGAGCUAAUACAUGCAAAUCGAGCUCGGACCGGAGACGGGAAGAGUGCUUUUAUUAGAUAAAAACCAAUCGGUGGCGAGCUUGCUUGUCAUCGCUUACUUGGUGAAUCAGAAUAACUUGCUGAUCGCACGGUCUUGCACCGGCGACGUAUCUUUCAAAUGUCUGCCUUAUCAACUGUCGAUGGUAGGUUCUGCGCCUACCAUGGUUGUAACGGGUAACGGGGAAUCAGGGUUCGAUUCCGGAGAGGGAGCCUGAGAAACGGCUACCACAUCCAAGGAAGGCAGCAGGCGCGCAAAUUACCCACUCCCGGCACGGGGAGGUAGUGACGAAAAAUAACGAUACGGGACUCAUCCGAGGCCCCGUAAUCGGAAUGAGUACAAUUUAAAUCCUUUAACGAGGAUCUAUUGGAGGGCAAGUCUGGUGCCAGCAGCCGCGGUAAUUCCAGCUCCAAUAGCGUAUAUUAAAAUUGUUGCGGUUAAAAAGCUCGUAGUUGCAUUUGUGCUCCGCGCCGUCGGUUCAUCGCUUGCGGUGCAAUUGGCGUGUCGCGGAACGUCCAGCCGGUCUCAAUCCUACCGCGGUGCUCUUUGUUGAGUGUCGAGGUGGGCCGGCACAUUUACUUUGAACAAAUUAGAGUGCUUAAAGCAGGCAAAACUUUGCCAAAAUACUAGUGCAUGGAAUAAUAGAAUAGGACCUCGGUUCUAUUUUGUUGGUUUUCUGAACUCCGAGGUAAGAUUAAAAGGGACGGUUGGGGGCAUUCGUAUUGCGACGUUAGAGGUGAAAUUCUUGGACCGUCGCAAGACGAACAGUAGCGAAAGCAUUUGCCAAAAACGUUUUCAUUAAUCAAGAACGAAAGUCAGAGGUUCGAAGGCGAUCAGAUACCGCCCUAGUUUUGACCAUAAACGAUGCCAGCUAGCGAUCCGCCGAAGUUCCUCCGAUGACUCGGCGGGCAGCUUCCGGGAAACCAAAGCUUUUAGGUUCCGGGGGAAGUAUGGUUGCAAAGCUGAAACUUAAAGGAAUUGACGGAAGGGCACCACCAGGAGUGGAGCCUGCGGCUUAAUUUGACUCAACACGGGAAACCUCACCAGGCCCGGACACCGGUAGGAUGGACAGAUUGAGAGCUCUUUCUUGAUUCGGUGGGUGGUGGUGCAUGGCCGUUCUUAGUUGGUGGAGCGAUUUGUCUGGUUGAUUCCGAUAACGAACGAGACUCUGCCUUGCUAACUAGACGUAUUUCUGGCAUCUUACAGAUCCGUCGGCGCGGUGCUUCUGUGCCGUGGUCGUGCGUGGUCUUACUGCCGGCGUACUUACAAUUCUUCUUAGAGGGACACGUGGCUUCUAGCCACAUGAGAAAGAGCAAUAACAGGUCUGUGAUGCCCUUAGAUGUCCUGGGCCGCACGCGCGCUACACUGUAGGAAUCAGCGUGUUCGCCUUGACCGAAAGGUCUGGGUAAUCCGUUGAAUUACCUUAGUACCAGGGAUUGGGGACUGAAAAUCCCCAUGAACGAGGAAUUCCGAGUAAUCGCGAGUCAACAGCUUGCGUUGAUUACGUCCCUGCCCUUUGUACACACCGCCCGUCGCUACUACCGAUUGAAUGAUUUAGUGAGGUCUUCGGACUGGUACGCGGUGGCGCUUCGGCAUCACCGAUGUUGCCGGAAAGAUGACCAAACUUGAUCAUUUAGA